UCUGGUUGAUCCUGCCAGUAGUCAUAUGCUUGUCUUAAAGAUUAAGCCAUGCAAGUCUAAGUAUAAGUGAAUUAUAUAUAACGAAACUGCGAAUGGCUCAUUAAAACAGUUAUAGUUUAUUUGAUAAUUUUUAUAUGGAUAACUUUAGGAAAUCUAGAGCUAAUACACGCCUAACGCCUGAUGCUUCGUGCAGAUGCGCUGUGUUUAUUAGAUAUAAUCCUCUCACUUACGUGUACAGAUGAUUCAUAAUAACUUAACCGACCGUCGCAAGACGGUAAUUCAUUCAAGUUUCUGCCCUAUCAGCUUAAGAUGGUAGUGUAUUGGACUACCAUGGCGAUCACGGGUAACGGAGAAUUAGGGUUCGAUUCCGGAGAGGGAGCCUGAGAAACGGCUACCACUUCUAAGGAAGGCAGCAGGCGCGUAAAUUACCCAAUCCUGACUCAGGGAGGUAGUGACAAGAAAUAGCGAUUCGGGUCCCACGGAUUACGAUUUUGCAAUGAGAACAAUUUAAAGAACUUAACGAGAAACAAUUGGAGGGCAAGUCUGGUCCCCCGU
RNAcentral lists this ribosomal RNA (555 nucleotides) under eukaryotic picoplankton environmental sample. RNAcentral's name for it is "bacterial SSU rRNA". It matches the Rfam family "Eukaryotic small subunit ribosomal RNA", at positions 1 to 580 of the family's 1831-position model. The record is from RNAcentral.